Molecule: long non-coding RNA, 1653 nt
Organism: Gallus gallus (chicken)
Lineage: Eukaryota; Metazoa; Chordata; Aves; Galliformes; Phasianidae
Source: Ensembl
CCCAAGCAAAAGAAGGCAGGUGGUAAAUAGCUCCCCAAAGAUACUUUGCAUUCUGCCAUAAAUGUCCUGUUUCUUGAUCCAGCCUAAGACAUUUGCAGAGAUGACUCCUUUUUGCAUGCUGGAAAAGCAUCAGGCUUCAUUUUCACAAACAGGUGAUGAAGAAAUGUUUGCAACAAAUAAUGAAGAAUGUCAAUACCAUACUUCACCAUGGUUAAUCCUUAAUGAAUGGAGUAUCUUGAAUUUGAGUACCACGACAGCAAAGUCCAAAACAGAUUAGGUGCUAUAAUUGUAUGAAGGCAUGUGGGAAAACUACCUCAAACUUCAUACUGUCCUGCACAACCAUGAAGAAGCAGAUCUGAUGCUAAACAUUCUAGAGAAGUAGAUAUAAACUGGGAAUACCAGAACUAGAACCAGGAUAAUCCAGAGGAUAUGAUCAACUGGUAUUUGUGGCAUGCUUCAAGACAUUGGUUUCCUAACCUAGGAGACUAGGAACUUGUCAGGACACUUGACAGCAGUCAUCCAGCAGUGCUUGAUUAUGAUUAAUCUGAAAAUGGGGGGAAGAUAAUUGAAAGGAAUACUGAAGAGUGUGAAAUAAUGUAAUAUCAUUAUCUAUGAAACGAGGGUGUGUCUAGAGGAAACUUGAAUCUGGAAACCAGAAACCUCCUGAAAUUUAGAUAGUAAUUGGAUUUAUAUAUAACUCUAUUCAAAAAUUUCUAUACAUAUAACCUAUUUUAAAAGUGCUAUUAAUUGGUGGUAUUUAAGAAAAUUAUUUCCAUUCAUUUAUAAGACAGAAUGGUUUCCUUGCUUCUGUGAUACUCUCUGAAAGACAAAAAAAGCAUUUGAAAAAGAUGCAGAUUAUGAAUCAACACCUGCUGCCAAAGAGACUGAGGAUAAGAAUUCUAUUACAUGUUCAUGAAAAUCAUGGCAUCUGUCUUACUUUCUUGUUCCAUAGCAUACAGGAGUAAUUUUUUUCUUCUUUCUGGAAAACACAUAGCUGCCAGAAGAUUCCACUAGACUUAACUAACCAUAAUUCAGUAUCAGGUAACAUUUCAUUUUAACUGCAGCAGAGAGAAACACAAAUAGACAUGCAGGUCUAGAAUAAUGUGAAGUGUGGUUGCAAGCAUAAUCAUUGUGUUUUUAACACUGAUUAUUGUAGAGGGAAAUGUCUUUUCUGAAAUUGUGUUUGUAUGUUCCUUAGUCUUGAAAUGUCACUUGAUUUCAGUCUCAGUGGAAUAACACUUGAAGCCUUCACAAAUGUAAAAUGAACAAGAUCAUCAAUAUUUUGUACCACUCUACCAUCUUGAAUCAAAUAUGACAUAUUUCAUUUUUUUCACUGACAAUAUAUUUUCAUGGGAUUUUUUAAGUUUCCCUCUACUGGACCUUAUCAGAUAUAUUCUCAUCAGUACUUUCUUUAGCAGAAGAUGCCAGAACAGCAAGGAAAAGAAUCAGCUCACUAGAUUCAAAAAUGAGUGACUGUUGCAGACCUCUCAUCUUUUCAUUUUACUCUCUUAAGACCAUAUGCCAAAGUUUCUUUGCUUUUAGUUUGUCAGUGGAAAUAGAACUUAUCCAUUGUGAUGAAUGAUGCAGUAACUUUAAAGUUCAGAGUUUCAAGUAGAAGUAAUGCAUUUCUAAAAUAAAAUAGAUCAUAUGAGG